UGGAAACGAAUCUUGCCAGAAAAACGGGAUUUCAGGGCCUUCCUUCCGUGCCUGGGCACCGGGUCACCAGAAGGCUCUGCUGGAUGCCAAGGGGUCUCUGGGCUCUGGUCAGCUGCUUCUGAACCUGAGAUUCCUGUGUCGAGCCAGAAACGAGACCACCGAAGCUCGCUCCCUUCCUCUCCAUCUCUCCCUCUCUUCGUGACCCUGGUGGUGGCCUGUGAUGCGGAAGACAGCUCUGCAGCCAACUGGUGCUUCAGCCUUUGCGCUGUCCCGGGGCCGGCUUCCCCCGGCCUGUGGAGGAGGCCCAGGUAAAGGCCGGGGCUGUUGCUGGCUCUCCUCUCUGCUUCUGGAAGUUUCCGCCUCAGAAUGGGCAGGACAGACCCACUGACUGGACUUCAGAGUCUGGAGGGUUCCAUCGGUCCUGGAAAAGAAAGGUGGCCAUGUGGCCCCUUGCUGUAGCCCUUGUCACAGCCCCAAAGAGCAGCUCUGUCCCCUGAACAUUCUGGGUCCCGGGGGAAAGGUGGACAGACACCCCCGAUUCUGACUGGCAUUUGACAACAGGAGCCUGAACUUCUGUGCAAGAAAGGGAGACCUGAGGGUGAAGAGUGACCAAAAAAAACAAACAAAAAACCUGGAGAACAGAAAUCCCCUUCCUAGGUGGUUACGAAUCCUGACUUCCUGCAAAUCAGUGCCAAGAGAGCAACUUACAUUCAUUUCUUCAUCUUAAAAAGUAGCAACAACUCCUAUUGUUGUAAUUUAUUCCGCCACCACCUAACAGGACGGAGUGGAGGAAGUUUGGAUAAAUGGGCCGAGCUGGGUUCCUCUUCCUCCCUGCGGAGGGGGGAUCUCAGCACUUUGUUCAGAGCUGAGGAUGUGGGUUCUGUGUUUUCCAGUUUUCCCACCCAUUUUUUUCUUCCCCCUCCUGACGCAAGCAAAGAGUGAGGACGCGUGUGCAGGCUUAGAAGAACCCUCCAGAACAUGGAACUUUUAACCCUCUUUUAUAUAAAACAUGUGCUUUCUAAAGAGAAAUCAUUUCUUACUUUUUGAGACUCCUUGAUCCACGCUGGACAGUCGCCUGUAGUCCUGGUAGCUGUCGUGCUGGGAAGUCACAAGCGCAUCCUUACCUCAGCUACCUGCUCACGGAGCCCGUGGUGGACUCGGCCCCCUGGGGUUCAGACCCAGAUGUCAUCGUCUGUCUCAUCCUCCUUUGCCCCCAGGAAAGGAUACAUCUACCCGUAGUGGCCCCAGCAGACUGCGCUGUGUGCCAGGGAGCUGAAAUGGGGCUGGUCAGGAGCCCUGCGUGCCAUGCUUUGGGAGCCCUCACUCCCGUCGGGGUUGGCAUCGUCUGGUGGCAUGUCCAAAUGCACACAGCAGUGGACACUAAAAGCAACAGAACUGGAGAUCUGCACCUGCUCUAGGCUAGCCCCGUCCCCACACCCCACAACCUCGACUGCCAUGACACCGUCCCACCAGGCUGAAGGCGGGGAACGCCCUCCCCAGACCUGCCGUCCAGCAAGGACCCGAGACUGUUCUGUGAUUUCCAAAAGCAAGGCAGCCACGCUGUUCUGUUUUCCAUCCCCGCCGCCCCAGAAGUUUCUUAGCAUUCCAUGGAGAAAGCUGUGUUCCAAUGAAUCCUACCUCUUGCCCAGUCCCAGGCAGAGCAUGCAGCGCCCACUCUAGGGACCAAGACAGAGUAGUAAGAAGGGGUCAAGCCGGGAGCAAAACACCUCAGACACCUGGGCCUUCUCAGCCUUCUCCCGGAGGCCAGCCGGGUCUCCGGGGACCCUGGGCCCUGGGCCGCCCCUUCCUGGCCCUCCCGCUGCAUCUCAGACCUGACGCCUGCCCGGGGGGAUGUGGUGGCCUGUGCCCGCCUUCUCGCCCUCCUCCCAACCCACCCCCUUGCCCCCACCCUGUGUGUUUUGCCAGUUAAGCACCUGUGACUCCCUACUACUGGUUUUGGGUUGUUAGUUCUGUCUUUUUUUUAAUUAAAUAAAAACAUUUUUAAAAUGUU
Non-coding RNA from Saimiri boliviensis boliviensis (Bolivian squirrel monkey), 2011 nucleotides. The record is from RefSeq and is a predicted model, not a curated record. Lineage: Eukaryota; Metazoa; Chordata; Mammalia; Primates; Cebidae.